CCUACGGGUGGCAGCAGUGAGGAAUAUUGGUCAAUGGACGCAAGUCUGAACCAGCCAUGCCGCGUGAAGGAAGACGGCUCUAUGGGUUGUAAACUUCUUUUAUACGGGGAUAAACGCAUCUACGCGUAGCUUUUUGCAUGUAUCUUACGAAUAAGGAUCGGCUAACUCCGUGCCAGCAGCCGCGGUAAUACGGAGGAUUCGAGCGUUAUCCGGAUUUAUUGGGUUUAAAGGGUGCGUAGGCGGUUUGUUAAGUUAGAGGUGAAAUUCCGAGGCUCAACCGUGGAAUUGCCUCUGAUACUGGUCGGCUAGAGAGUAGUAGAGGUAGGCGGAGUGCAUGGUGUAGCGGUGAAAUGCUUAGAGAUCACAAAGAACACCGAUUGCGAAGGCAGCUUACCAAGCUACAACUGACGCUGAGGCACGAAAGCGUGGGGAGCAAACAGGAUUAGAUACCCGUGUAGUC
RNAcentral lists this ribosomal RNA (460 nucleotides) under uncultured bacterium. RNAcentral describes it as "partial 16S ribosomal RNA". It matches the Rfam family "Bacterial small subunit ribosomal RNA", at positions 338 to 795 of the family's 1533-position model. The record is from RNAcentral.